This is a non-coding RNA of Podarcis muralis (Common wall lizard), 735 nucleotides long. The record is from RefSeq and is a predicted model, not a curated record. Lineage: Eukaryota; Metazoa; Chordata; Lepidosauria; Squamata; Lacertidae.
AAGAAGAAGAGGAGGAGGAGGAGGAGGAGGAGCCAAAACACAGAAAGGCUCAUCUACUGUACGCUUCCAUCAAGGUCACAACAGAUCAUUAUUCCUAUCGAUUCUCUCUAUCUGCAUUCCAAGGAAUCCCUCAUCUUGGUAUCAGGGAACAUUUCUCUAUUAGGUUUAUCUCGUAGUGCAUCUGUCAGCUUUGUGAGCUCCAAGUACUCACACAACAAAUGCCAUGUUUUGAAUGGGCUGCAAGAUGGCUGAAGACCACCACAUAAAAUGGAUGCUGUUGAUGAACUAUUAAUAAAUUGUGCUGAUCAAAGAGUGAAUGGAAUGUGCAUGUUCUGGCAAAAGUACUGUACCUGCAAGGAAGUGGAAAGACUGACUGUGCAAUGCUAGUUACAAACAAUGAGUAUCGUCUUGUGCCAAAAGUUACAGAAGACCAGGCGCAAACCAUGAGAGUUGUGAUAUGCCAAGAACAUGCUAAGGGUGGAGGACUGCCAAGAACAUGUCAAAGGCAAUGAGAAAUGCCUUUGAUUCAGAUGUGCACCAAAAAAGACUAUAUAAGAUCAGGCUUUUCAGGAGGGUUGGUGUGUCGGAUGCAGCCAGGAUCCCGCUGUCUGCCCACCCAAUCCAGAAGAGUGGUGAGUGUAUGUGUGAUUGUGUGAGUGACUGAGUGCAUGUUCCCUUAUCUUGUUACGUGUUCUGCUUGUUAAUCAAUAAAGCAAUGUUAUGUAGAAAUUCCAA